AACGGUCUAUACCUGCGGUACCUGCGGAGGGAUCAUUACAGAGACAUUGCCCUCCGGGGUAAAUCUCCCACCCUUUGUUUAAUUACUGUUGUUGCUUUGGCAGGCCCGUCUGAUGACCACCGGCUUAGGCUGGUCCGCGCCUGCCAGAGAGGACCCCAAAUUCUUUGAUUUUUGUGUUGUCUGAGUAAUAUUAUAAUAAGUUAAAACUUUUAACAAUGGAUCUCUAGAUCGGAAGAGCAC
This 240-nucleotide unclassified non-coding RNA is filed under the name soil metagenome. RNAcentral's name for it is "partial contains 5.8S ribosomal RNA, internal transcribed spacer 2, and large subunit ribosomal RNA". The record is from RNAcentral.